UACGUAGGGCGCGAGCGUUGUCCGGAAUUAUUGGGCGUAAAGAGCUCGUAGGCGGUCUGUCGCGUCGGAUGUGAAAGCCCGGGACUUAACCCCGGGUCUGCAUUCGAUACGGGCAGACUAGAGUGUGGUAGGGGAGAUCGGAAUUCCUGGUGUAGCGGUGAAAUGCGCAGAUAUCAGGAGGAACACCGGUGGCGAAGGCGGAUCUCUGGGCCAUUACUGACGCUGAGGAGCGAAAGCGUGGGGAGCGAACAGG
This 253-nucleotide ribosomal RNA is filed under the name uncultured bacterium. RNAcentral's name for it is "partial 16S ribosomal RNA". It matches the Rfam family "Bacterial small subunit ribosomal RNA", at positions 524 to 776 of the family's 1533-position model. The record is from RNAcentral.